RNAcentral lists this ribosomal RNA (1269 nucleotides) under Staphylococcus aureus. Its description in RNAcentral is "bacterial SSU rRNA". It matches the Rfam family "Bacterial small subunit ribosomal RNA", at positions 1 to 1249 of the family's 1533-position model. The record is from RNAcentral. Lineage: Bacteria; Bacillati; Bacillota; Bacilli; Caryophanales; Staphylococcaceae.
UUUAAAGUUGAUUCAUGGCUCAGGAUGAUCGCGGUCGUCGUGCAUAAUACAUGCAUGUCGAGCGAACAGUCGAGAAGCUCGCUUUUUUGAUGUUAGCGGUUUACGCGUGAGUAACACGUGGAUAACCUACCUAUAUGACUGGGAUAACUUCGGGAAACCGGAGUUAAUACCGGAUAAUAUUUUGAACCGCAUGGUUCAAAAGUGAAAGACGGUCUUGCUGUCACUUAUAGAUGGAUCCGCGCUGCAUUAGCUAGUUGGUAAGGUAACGGCUUACCAAGGCAACGAUGCAUAGCCGACCUGAGAGGGUGAUCGGCCACACUGGAACUGAGACACGGUCCAGACUCCUACGGGAGGCAGCAGUAGGGAAUCUUCCGCAAUGGGCGAAAGCCUGACGGAGCAACGCCGCGUGAGUGAUGAAGGUCUUCGGAUCGUAAAACUCUGUUAUUAGGGAAGAACAUAUGUGUAAGUAACUGUGCACAUCUUGACGGUACCUAAUCAGAAAGCCACGGCUAAGUACGUGCCAGCAGCCGCGGUAAUACGUAGGUGGCAAGCGUUAUCCGGAAUUAUUGGGCGUAAAGCGCGCGUAGGCGGUUUUUUAAGUUCUGAUGUGAAAGCCCACGGCUCAACCGUGGAGGGUCAUUGGAAACUGGAAAACUUGAGUGCAGAAGAGGAAAGUGGAAUUCCAUGUGUAGCGGUGAAAUGCGCAGAGAUAUGGAGGAACACCAGUGGCGAAGGCGACUUUCUGGUCUGUAACUGACGCUGAUGUGCGAAAGCGUGGGGAUCAAACAGGAUUAGAUACCCUGGUAGUCCACGCCGUAAACGAUGAGUGCUAAGUGUUAGGGGGUUUCCGCCCCUUAGUGCUGCAGCUAACGCAUUAAGCACUCCGCCUGGGGAGUACGACCGCAAGGUUGAAACUCAAAGGAAUUGACGGGGACCCGCACAAGCGGUGGAGCAUGUGGUUUAAUUCGAAGCAACGCGAAUAACCUUACCAGAUCUUGACAUCCUUUGACAACUCUAGAGAUAGAGCCUUCCCCUUCGGGGGACAAACUGACAGGUGGUGCAUGGUUGUCGUCAGCUCGUGUCGUGAGAUGUUGAAGUUAAGUCCCGCAACGAGCGCAACCCUUAAGCUUAGUUGCCAUCAUUAAGUUGGGCACUCUAAUUUGACUGCGGGGUGACUAACCGGAGGAAGGUGAAGUAUGACAUCCAAUCAUCACGCCCCUUAUGGGUUAGAGCUCCGCACGUGCUACAAUGGACAAUACAAACGUGCAG